AGCGCCGUCCUGCUGUCGGGUCCUAAAGCAGGGGAAGGAACCUCAGAGCUCAGCAGCCUGCUAGCAUGAAACAUGAGAGCAAAGUAGGAGGAGAACUGUCUGUGCCCCUCCUCCACAUGACGUAAUCCUGAGGUCAGGGGUCUUGACUCCUGACCCCCAGCACUGGAAGCCAUAUGAGGAUCCUGUCAGCAUCUCAGAAAGUUAGGGGCAUGACUCAAUUAUCCCCAAUGGGAGCUUAACCCCCACUCCAGGGAGAAAAAGAUGCCGCGGUCACUCAGGUGCGGUGAUCCUCAGACUGGGCAUCGGUCCUGCAGGGAGGCGGCUGAUGGUAACCGGGGGGAGCUCAGACAUCGGGCCACGGACCGUUACACGCCACCAA
This is a long non-coding RNA of Hyla sarda, 379 nucleotides long. RefSeq lists it as uncharacterized. The record is from RefSeq and is a predicted model, not a curated record. The transcript has 3 exons. Lineage: Eukaryota; Metazoa; Chordata; Amphibia; Anura; Hylidae.